CAGCAGCCGCGGGAAUACGAAGGGUGCAAGCGUUACUCGGAAUUACUGGGCGUAAAGCGUGCGUAGGUGGUGGUUUAAGUCCGUUGUGAAAGCCCUGGGCUCAACCUGGGAAUUGCAGUGGAUACUGGGUCACUAGAGUGUGGUAGAGGAUAGUGGAAUUUCCGGUGUAGCGGUGAAAUGCGUAGAGAUCGGGAGGAACAUCAGUGGCGAAGGCGGCCAUCUGGGACAACACUGACGCUGAGGCACGAAAGCGUGGGGAGCAAACAGGAUUAGAUACCCGGGUAGUCCCUGUCUCUUAUAC
RNAcentral lists this ribosomal RNA (301 nucleotides) under uncultured bacterium. RNAcentral's name for it is "partial 16S ribosomal RNA". It matches the Rfam family "Bacterial small subunit ribosomal RNA", at positions 509 to 807 of the family's 1533-position model. The record is from RNAcentral.